AGUGUUCCUGAUGCACCAGGAAGAACUUGGAAAGCAUUUCCCAGUGACACUUGAGGCACGCGGUGCUGCGAUGCAUGCAGAGUCCUGAGGGUAACCUGGCGCCAUGGAGCCAUGCUGAGAGCCCAACCCCAAAUGUGCACGGUCUCUGUGGGAAAUGGGACCCAGGGAACAGCUGCUCGGACACUAGCUGACUCCAUUGUACAAAAGGGCUGGUCUGGGCUCCUCACCUGCCCCCACCCCCUGCAGCAGAAUGUAAGCUUCAGAGAGAGGUGGAGUGCAAGAGGCGCCCACAGCGAAUGAGCUUGCUCUGCUGAGAAUAACGUCAACCAGCAUUGAUUUAUAUUUGAGCCAAGACCUCCAAGACCUUGAUCUCCUUGGUUUUCUGUUUCCUUAGUUCUCUGAUCUUGCAGCUGGGACCCCUUACAAAGGACCCGGAGGGGCUGAGCCCCAUCCUGCUCUGAGACAGCCCCGCCCUGGUCCAGGCAGAUCAAGGGGCCCAGGGCCUGGGCUCACAGGCUCAGCCUCCCGUCGGGUCCGGCUGCUGGUCCCACCCUGCCUCCUGACACGGAACCUUGUCCCUGCUCUGGCCUUGAUGCCUCUCAUUUUCACAUCUGCAUGUUAGUGAAGAAAUGUGGCCUCUCCUUCAGAGCAGCCUUCUGCCUGGCUUUCCUGACUAAUACCCAGAUUCAGAGUUUUGACACUUUUGAAAGGAAGACUGGGCACUUCCCAGGGCAGACCAGGG
RNAcentral lists this long non-coding RNA (742 nucleotides) under Marmota monax (woodchuck). The record is from RNAcentral. Lineage: Eukaryota; Metazoa; Chordata; Mammalia; Rodentia; Sciuridae.